GACGAACGCUGGCGGCGUGCUUAACACAUGCAAGUCGAACGAUGAAGCCUUUUGGGGUGGAUUAGUGGCGAACGGGUGAGUAACACGUGGGCAAUCUGCCCUGUACUUUGGGAUAAGCCUUGGAAACGAGGUCUAAUACCGGAUAUGACUGGCCUUCGCAUGGGGGUUGGUUGAAAGUUCUGGCGGUACAGGAUGAGCCCGCGGCCUAUCAGCUUGUUGGUGGGGUGAUGGCCUACCAAGGCGA
Molecule: ribosomal RNA, 244 nt
Filed under: uncultured Actinomycetes bacterium
Lineage: Bacteria; Bacillati; Actinomycetota; Actinomycetes
Description: uncultured actinobacterium partial 16S ribosomal RNA
Rfam family: Bacterial small subunit ribosomal RNA
Source: RNAcentral